GUGAAGCCCAGCUCGCUGGGUGGAUCAGUGGCGAACGGGUGAGUAACACGUGAGCAACCUGCCCUCCACUUCGGGAUAAGCCUUGGAAACGGGGUCUAAUACCGGAUAUGAGCUCGCAUCGCAUGGUGUGGGUUGGAAAGUUUUUCGGUGGGGGAUGGGCUCGCGGCCUAUCAGCUUGUUGGUGGGGUGAUGGCCUACCAAGGCGUCGACGGGUAGCCGGCCUGAGAGGGCGACCGGCCACACUGGGACUGAGACACGGCCCAGACUCCUACGGGAGGCAGCAGUGGGGAAUAUUGCACAAUGGGCGCAAGCCUGAUGCAGCGACGCCGCGUGAGGGAUGACGGCCUUCGGGUUGUAAACCUCUUUCAGCAGGGAAGAAGCGCAAGUGACGGUACCUGCAGAAGAAGCGCCGGCUAACUACGUGCCAGCAGCCGCGGUAAUACGUAGGGCGCAAGCGUUGUCCGGAAUUAUUGGGCGUAAAGAGCUCGUAGGCGGUCUGUCGCGUCUGGUGUGAAAUCCCGAGGCUCAACCUCGGGCUUGCAUCGGGUACGGGCAGACUAGAGUGCGGUAGGGGAGACUGGAAUUCCUGGUGUAGCGGUGGAAUGCGCAGAUAUCAGGAGGAACACCGAUGGCGAAGGCAGGUCUCUGGGCCGCAACUGACGCUGAGGAGCGAAAGCAUGGGGAGCGAACAGGAUUAGAUACCCUGGUAGUCCAUGCCGUAAACGUUGGGCACUAGGUGUGGGGCUCAUUCCACGAGUUCCGUGCCGCAGCUAACGCAUUAAGUGCCCCGCCCGGGGAGUACGGCCGCAAGGCUAAAACUCAAAGGAAUUGACGGGGGCCCGCACAAGCGGCGGAGCAUGCGGAUUAAUUCGAUGCAACGCGAAGAACCUUACCAAGGCUUGACAUGUACGAGAAAGCCCCCGAGACGGGGUUCUCUUUGGACACUCGUACACAGGUGGUGCAUGGUUGUCGUCAGCUCGUGUCGUGAGAUGUUGGGUUAAGUCCCGCAACGAGCGCAACCCUCGUCCUAUGUUGCCAGCGGGUUAUGCCGGGGACUCAUGGGAGACUGCCGGGGUCAACUCGGAGGAAGGUGGGGAUGACGUCAAAUCAUCAUGCCCCUUAUGUCUUGGGCUUCACGCAUGCUACAAUGGCCGGUACAGAGGGCUGCGAUACCGUAAGGUGGAGCGAAUCCCAAAAAGCCGGUCUCAGUUCGGAUUGGGGUCUGCAACUCGACCCCAUGAAGUCGGAGU
Molecule: ribosomal RNA, 1250 nt
Filed under: uncultured bacterium
Lineage: Bacteria
Description: bacterial SSU rRNA
Rfam family: Bacterial small subunit ribosomal RNA
Source: RNAcentral